Molecule: ribosomal RNA, 490 nt
Filed under: uncultured bacterium
Lineage: Bacteria
Description: partial 16S ribosomal RNA
Rfam family: Bacterial small subunit ribosomal RNA
Source: RNAcentral
AAUGAACGCUGGCGGCAUGCCUUACACAUGCAAGUCGAACGGCAGCAUGACCUAGCUUGCUAGGUUGAUGGCGAGUGGCGAACGGGUGAGUAAUGCAUCGGAACGUGCCUUUUAGUGGGGGAUAACGUAGCGAAAGUUACGCUAAUACCGCAUAUUCUCUGAGGAGGAAAGCAGGGGGCCUUCGGCCCUUGCGCUAGAAGAGCGGCCGAUGUCGGAUUAGCUAGUUGGUGAGGUAAAGGCUCACCAAGGCAACGAUCCGUAGCGGGUCUGAGAGGAUGAUCCGCCACACUGGGACUGAGACACGGCCCAGACUCCUACGGGAGGCAGCAGUGGGGAAUUUUGGACAAUGGGCGCAAGCCUGAUCCAGCCAUGCCGCGUGAGUGAAGAAGGCCUUCGGGUUGUAAAGCUCUUUCGGCUGGGAAGAAAUCGCACUCUCUAAUACAGGGUGUGGAUGACGGUACCAGCAUAAGAAGCACCGGCUAACUACGUG